Non-coding RNA from Ictidomys tridecemlineatus (thirteen-lined ground squirrel), 70 nucleotides. Lineage: Eukaryota; Metazoa; Chordata; Mammalia; Rodentia; Sciuridae. The record is from Rfam.
GGGUGUGGCUCAGUGGUAAAGCCUAUGCCUAGCAUGCACAAAGCCCUGGGUUCCAUCCCUAGCACUACCA